This 84-nucleotide ribosomal RNA is filed under the name Allium pallasii. Its description in RNAcentral is "partial 5.8S ribosomal RNA". It matches the Rfam family "5.8S ribosomal RNA", at positions 73 to 154 of the family's 154-position model. From Rfam's summary of the family: 5.8S ribosomal RNA (5.8S rRNA) is a component of the large subunit of the eukaryotic ribosome. It is transcribed by RNA polymerase I as part of the 45S precursor that also contains 18S and 28S rRNA. Lineage: Eukaryota; Viridiplantae; Streptophyta; Magnoliopsida; Asparagales; Amaryllidaceae. The record is from RNAcentral.
UGCAGAAUCCCGUGAACCAUCGAGUCUUUGAAUGCAAGUUGCGCUCGAGGCCAUUAGGCCGAGAGCACGUCUGUUUGGGCGUCA